Molecule: small nuclear RNA, 296 nt
Filed under: Castor canadensis (American beaver)
Lineage: Eukaryota; Metazoa; Chordata; Mammalia; Rodentia; Castoridae
Description: 7SK RNA (ENSCCNG00000003904.1)
Rfam family: 7SK RNA
About the family: 7SK was discovered as an abundant small nuclear RNA in the mid-70s but a possible function has only recently been suggested. Two independent studies have found that 7SK RNA binds the CDK9/cyclin T complex (known as elongation factor P-TEFb).
Source: RNAcentral
GGAUGUGAGAGCAUUCUGACUGUAACUGACUUCAGUCACCGGUUGAUUGCCAGGGUUGAUUUGGCUGAUUUGGCUGGCUAGGUGGAUGUCGCCUUUUUCCUUUACCAUCCCAUGUGCAUCCGUCCCAAAGCUGAGUGCUGAUAGAGGAGGACUGUUCUUAAAACAAAUGUAUAGGAGUAGCUCACAACCCUGCUGGAACCUCCAAACUACCAAGUACAGGUCUUGAAUGAGAAGAAGGUAGUGCAUGAGGCCAGGGGAAGCUAUCAAAUAGAAGAAUGUGAAGUCAGACAAGUCAU